This 486-nucleotide ribosomal RNA is filed under the name uncultured bacterium. Its description in RNAcentral is "partial 16S ribosomal RNA". It matches the Rfam family "Bacterial small subunit ribosomal RNA", at positions 30 to 507 of the family's 1533-position model. The record is from RNAcentral.
AUUGAACGCUGGCGGCAUGCCUUACACAUGCAAGUCGAACGGCAGCACGGGUGCUUGCACCUGGUGGCGAGUGGCGAACGGGUGAGUAAUACAUCGGAACAUGUCCUCUAGUGGGGGAUAGCCCGGCGAAAGCCGGAUUAAUACCGCAUACGAUCCACGGAUGAAAGCGGGGGACCUUCGGGCCUCGCGCUAUAGGGUUGGCCGAUGGCUGAUUAGCUAGUUGGUGGGGUAAAGGCCUACCAAGGCGACGAUCAGUAGCUGGUCUGAGAGGACGACCAGCCACACUGGGACUGAGACACGGCCCAGACUCCUACGGGAGGCAGCAGUGGGGAAUUUUGGACAAUGGGCGAAAGCCUGAUCCAGCAAUGCCGCGUGUGUGAAGAAGGCCUUCGGGUUGUAAAGCACUUUUGUCCGGAAAGAAAUCCUUGACUCUAAUACAGUCGGGGGAUGACGGUACCGGAAGAAUAAGCACCGGCUAACUACGUG